RNAcentral lists this ribosomal RNA (399 nucleotides) under Acanthamoeba genotype T4. Its description in RNAcentral is "SSU rRNA". It matches the Rfam family "Eukaryotic small subunit ribosomal RNA", at positions 784 to 1084 of the family's 1831-position model. The record is from RNAcentral. Lineage: Eukaryota; Discosea; Longamoebia; Acanthamoebidae.
AUUUUCUGCCACCGAAUACAUUAGCAUGGGAUAAUGGAAUAGGACCCUGUCCUCCUAUUUUCAGUUGGUUUUGGCAGCGCGAGGACUAGGGUAAUGAUUAAUAGGGAUAGUUGGGGGCAUUAAUAUUUAAUUGUCAGAGGUGAAAUUCUUGGAUUUAUGAAAGAUUAACUUCUGCGAAAGCAUCUGCCAAGGAUGUUUUCAUUAAUCAAGAACGAAAGUUAGGGGAUCGAAGACGAUCAGAUACCGUCGUAGUCUUAACCAUAAACGAUGCCGACCAGCGAUUAGGAGACGUUGAAUACAAAACACCACCAUCGGCGCGGUCGUCCUUGGCGUCGGUCCUUCACGGGGCCGGCGCGAGGGCGGCUUAGCCCGGUGGCACCGGUGAAUGACUCCCCUAGC